This 465-nucleotide ribosomal RNA is filed under the name uncultured bacterium. Its description in RNAcentral is "partial 16S ribosomal RNA". It matches the Rfam family "Bacterial small subunit ribosomal RNA", at positions 28 to 507 of the family's 1533-position model. The record is from RNAcentral.
GACGAACGCUGGCGGCGUGCUUAACACAUGCCAGUCGAACGGAAAGGCCCCUUUGGGGGUACUCGAGUGGCGAACGGGUGAGUAACACGUGAGUAACCUGCCCUUGACUUCGGGAUAACUUCAGGAAACUGGGGCUAAUACCGGAUAGGAAUCCUUGCUGCAUGGUGGGGGUUGGAAAGCUUCGGCGGUUUUGGAUGGACUCGCGGCUUAUCAGCUUGUUGGUGGGGGAGUGGCUUACCAAGGCUUUGACGGGUAGCCGGCCUGAGAGGGCGACCGGCCACAUUGGGACUGAGAUACGGCCCAGACGCCUACGGGAGGCAGCAGUGGGGAAUAUUGCACAAUGGGCGGAAGCCUGAUGCAGCAACGCCGCGGGCGGGAUGACGGCCUUCGGGUUGUAAACCGCGUUCAGCAGGGGCGAAGCUUGUGGUGACGGUACCUGCAGAAGAAGCACCGGCUAACUACGUG